AGGAGAAUAGCUGGGCCAAAUGGUGGUUCCAUUCCCAGCUUUCCAAGAAAUCUCCAUACUGCUUUCCAAAUUGGCCGCAAGAAUUUGCAGUCCCACCAGCUAU
Molecule: microRNA precursor, 103 nt
Filed under: Marmota monax (woodchuck)
Lineage: Eukaryota; Metazoa; Chordata; Mammalia; Rodentia; Sciuridae
Source: RNAcentral